This 253-nucleotide ribosomal RNA is filed under the name uncultured bacterium. RNAcentral describes it as "partial 16S ribosomal RNA". It matches the Rfam family "Bacterial small subunit ribosomal RNA", at positions 524 to 776 of the family's 1533-position model. The record is from RNAcentral.
UACGAAGGGUGCAAGCGUUAAUCGGAAUUACUGGGCGUAAAGGGUGCGUAGGCGGUUGUUUAAGUCUGUCGUGAAAUCCCCGGGCUCAACCUGGGAAUGGCGAUGGAUACUGGGCAGCUAGAGUGUGUCAGAGGAUGGUGGAAUUCCCGGUGUAGCGGUGAAAUGCGUAGAGAUCGGGAGGAACAUCAGUGGCGAAGGCGGCCAUCUGGGACGUUACUGACGCUGAGACGCGAAAGCGUGGGGAGCAAACAGG